GUGGGGAAUUUUGGACAAUGGGCGCAAGCCUGAUCCAGCAAUGCCGCGUGCAGGAAGAAGGCCUUCGGGUUGUAAACUGCUUUUGUACGGAACGAAACGGUCCGGGUUAAUACCCUGGGCUAAUGACGGUACCGUAAGAAUAAGCACCGGCUAACUACGUGCCAGCAGCCGCGGUAAUACGUAGGGUGCAAGCGUUAAUCGGAAUUACUGGGCGUAAAGCGUGCGCAGGCGGUUUUGUAAGACAGGCGUGAAAUCCCCGGGCUCAACCUGGGAAUUGCGCUUGUGACUGCAAGGCUGGAGUGCGGCAGAGGGGGAUGGAAUUCCGCGUGUAGCAGUGAAAUGCGUAGAUAUGCGGAGGAACACCGAUGGCGAAGGCAAGCCCCUGGGCCUGCACUGACGCUCAUGCACGAAAGCGUGGGGAGCAAACAGGAUUAGAAACCCCUGUAGUCC
This 450-nucleotide ribosomal RNA is filed under the name uncultured bacterium. RNAcentral's name for it is "partial 16S ribosomal RNA". It matches the Rfam family "Bacterial small subunit ribosomal RNA", at positions 354 to 796 of the family's 1533-position model. The record is from RNAcentral.